This 32-nucleotide small RNA is filed under the name Bombyx mori (domestic silkworm). RNAcentral describes it as "ovarian small RNA-2006". Lineage: Eukaryota; Metazoa; Arthropoda; Insecta; Lepidoptera; Bombycidae. The record is from RNAcentral.
UCAUCCUGGCCCGUUUGCGGAAGACCGCACAC